Molecule: ribosomal RNA, 255 nt
Filed under: uncultured bacterium
Lineage: Bacteria
Description: partial 16S ribosomal RNA
Rfam family: Bacterial small subunit ribosomal RNA
Source: RNAcentral
CAAUACAGUGAUGUGGAGGCAAAACCCUAAAAAACCGAAUCUCAGUUCGGAUUGAAGUCUGAAAUUCGACUUCAUGAAGCUGGAAUUGCUAGUAAUGGCAGGUCAGCAUACUGCCGUGAAUACGUUCCCGGGCCUUGUACACACCGCCCGUCACACCAUGAGAGUUGGGAAUACCCGAAGCCUGUGAGCUAACUUUUUAAGAGGCAGCAGUCGAAGGUAGAAUCAAUGAUUGGGGUGAAGUCGUAACAAGGUAAC